This is a long non-coding RNA of Aethalodelphis obliquidens (Pacific white-sided dolphin), 1215 nucleotides long. RefSeq lists it as uncharacterized. NCBI's taxonomy places the organism in Eukaryota, Metazoa, Chordata, Mammalia, Artiodactyla, Delphinidae. The record is from RefSeq and is a predicted model, not a curated record. The transcript is spliced from 3 exons.
CCUCACUGAGUCCAGGAGAAUGCAGUGGGCUAGAACAAGUAAGGCACUUGCAACGGAUUGGCCCAUCCUGAGCUUGCAAUAAAUGGACCCAGGCUAUGUUAGUCAGCAUCAAUGCCACUCAGUGCUAAAGUUCCUGCUGGAACUCUUGUGAGAUGCACUUCUUUCCACCGGAAUUGCUGAGAGCACUGGAUCUAAGCCUGGGGCUGCUGAUCACCGUCUUUCUUAGAGACCAUCUGCCUAGAAAAGGAGACAACACAGGGAGAAGCACUGCUGGAGCACCCGGACACAGCCUUGCCUGAAGCCAUCGACUCUGCACUUUUAUGUUACGUGAGCCGAUAUUUCUUUUUCUGUUAAGCUGGUUUGAUUAGGUUUUCUGUCACUUGCAACCCAGAAAGUCCUGCUGAUCCUGAGGCGGAACACACAGAAUGGCUUUUGGAGUUGCUUCGGUGCCACACCUCCGUCAUUUGCCCUGGGAGUUCCGUAGCCAGCUGCCAGUGGACACUCCUGCCCAACAGGCUCGGGCUCCUCCGGGAGCCUUGGGGCAAAUCAUCAAGGCCACCCAACCUCACUCCUUCACACCCGAAACCCUUUCUUCCCCUGAUGCUCCUGUCCCCUCAUUUCUCCUCCCUCUUCCCCUUCUCAGAGACUGUCUUCUUUCCUGCUUUCCUAAGAGGAUGAAUUAAGGACCAAUUAAGGCUGAGUGUGGAAUUUGGAAUCAUCCACCCCAGACAGCAGAGAUCAAGCAUCAGGUCACCUGAGUCAUGGAACAAGUCUCCACUCAUCUAUUUAUCCACCACUGUUGCAACAUCAGCUUCUCUCAAUAACUAGAGCUUUGUAACAAGCCUUAUGUCUGCCACUGUCACUCUAUCUUCUGCACGUGCGCCCAGCCCCCGUCCCUGCACGCGAUGGACACUGAGUUGCUAUGCCUGGAUGUUGUGAACCUGCUCCCUGCUCAUAAGCAGCUGGGCCCAGCAGUACGUCUCAGAUCAAGAGGCUGGCUCUGCCCACCAACUGGCUGUGUGACCUUCGGCAAGUGUCUCAACCUCUCUGAGCUUCAGUUUCUUGUAUGGAAACUGGCAGUCAUAAUAGACCUACAUCCCCCAUAGGACUGAAAUGAGGAUCGCAUGAGUUAAUGCAUGAACAGUGCCAGGCACAUGGUAAGCACCUUAGACAUUAACAAUUUGUGUUACUACUAAUCCACUUAAAUAAAAUGUA